GGUCCCAUGGCUUAGAUGGCAAAGCGCCUGCCUAGUAAGCCUCGAUCAUGCGUUCGAGUCUCAUUGGGACCU
RNAcentral lists this transfer RNA (72 nucleotides) under Daphnia galeata. It matches the Rfam family "tRNA". Rfam says of the family: Transfer RNA (tRNA) molecules are approximately 80 nucleotides in length. Their secondary structure includes four short double-helical elements and three loops (D, anti-codon, and T loops). Lineage: Eukaryota; Metazoa; Arthropoda; Branchiopoda; Diplostraca; Daphniidae. The record is from Rfam by way of RNAcentral.